Molecule: long non-coding RNA, 634 nt
Filed under: Malus domestica (apple)
Lineage: Eukaryota; Viridiplantae; Streptophyta; Magnoliopsida; Rosales; Rosaceae
Description: long non-coding RNA (MDOM_LNC012317)
Source: RNAcentral
GUCGGACUAUAGUCUAGUCCAGUCCAAGCCCUCUUAAUCCUGUCAAACAAACGUGCCCGUAGUGCACAAAGUGGCCAAACAAAGACCAACCCACAUGAAUAGUCCAAAUGAUAAAAUUGAUAAAGCCAAAUUCCAAUUGGAUGGUCCAAAAUAUAUGCAAACUAUCUGCUCUAACCGCACCAUCAAAUUAGUCACUCUUUGCAUUGGUUAUCGGGAUCAAGAAAAAAAAUACAAAGAGAAAACACUGGGUUAUUGGGAUCGUGAACACGAUUGCCUCCAGUGUAGCUCUGCUACUAUUAAGGGAUGAUUUGAAUCUGGCACAGUAGUUUAAAGAGGAGAACUUUUCACCAAGUAAAUCCAUUACUCCAAUAACUUGUUAUUAGAUAGAAGCAUUUCUAACUAAUCAAGUAAUCGUCCAACUCCAUAGACUUUGUAUUUAUAAAGUAUAGCAUCAAUGGGACGAAAAGUAAUCGUCCAACUCCAACUACAUAAUUGUCUGGAGUAUUCCUAACAAUUAGCGGCUAUGCUAAAGGAAGUAUGACAAAGUAUGAAAGUAGUAGAAAAAUUAAUGUUUUAAUAUGAAGAUGAGACGAACAAAAUUAUGCAUACAAAUUUGAAAACAAGAGGUGCCUUA